AGUGAACGCUGGCGGUAGGCCUAACACAUGCAAGUCGAACGGCAGCACAGUAAGUGCUUGCUCUUACGGGUGGCGAGUGGCGGACGGGUGAGGAAUAUAUCGUAAUCUACUUUUUCGUGGGGGAUAACGUAGGGAAACUUACGCUAAUACCGUAUACGACCUACGGUUGAAAGCAGGGGAUCUUCGGACCUUGCGCGAUUGAAUGAGCCGAUGUCGGAUUAGCUAGUUGGCGGGGUAAAGGCCCACCAAGACGACGAUCCGUAGCUGGUCUGAGAGGAUGAUCAGCCACACUGGAACGGGGACACGGUCCAGACUCCUACGGGAGGCAGCAGUGGGGAAUAUUGGACAAGGGGCGAAAGCCUGAUCCAGCCAUACCGCGUGGGGAAGGAAGGCCUUCGGGUUGUAAAGCCCUUUUGUUGGGAAAGAAAAGCGGCAGGUUAAUACCCCGCUGUUCUGACGGUACCCAAAGAAUAAGCACCGGCUAACUUCGUG
Molecule: ribosomal RNA, 492 nt
Filed under: uncultured bacterium
Lineage: Bacteria
Description: partial 16S ribosomal RNA
Rfam family: Bacterial small subunit ribosomal RNA
Source: RNAcentral